GUCAGGCUUGAAGCUGUAAAAUGAUAUAUGGAAAGCUCACUGCAAGGCAAGUUUGUGUGACUUUUGUCCACUAAACACUUAUAAAAGCUGUAAAACGUUAUGGAUUAUUUAUGCCUACAUGUCAGAAGCAAAGAAACUACAGAUUUUUUGUUUUAUUUAAUAGUACUGUGUAGUUAGUGCAGUUUACAAAAUGGUGGCUAAAAUGAAACUUAAUGAUUGAAAGUUGGGCACAAGGCUGAAGUUAGUUCACAUUGUUUUGUGAUGUUCAAGUUGAUGGUUUUAUUUUUUUAAAACAAUUUUUCUCUUCUACAUUUUUAGGUAAAAUCAAAAUAUCACAAAUGAUGGAUGAAUACAAAGAUCAACAAUUUUCAGAUGAAAAGAACUCCACAUUUGAUUGUGGAAUCGAAGAGAGGUCGAGAGUCAUUGUGGAACAAGAACUACAAGUUGAUGAUGAAGACCGGAGGCUCUCAGCUCACUCAACAAGUGAAACUGAAAACCAAACGUUGACUGCAGCUAUCCAAGAUUCUGAUGGCGAUUUGGAAGACGACUGUGAUAUUCAUGAUGGAGAGUUGCAACCCACAAGUUUAUCAAAUAAACUUGUCAAAAGAAGGAAAGCCCAAAAAAGACAUGCAGACAAUGAUGGUGACAGGGGAUUGCUGAACUUGUCUGUGGAAGAGAAACAUGGCAAAGGACAAAACUCUAUUACAACUCUCAAUGAGGACAGUGACGGAGAUGAGUAUGGAGAAAAGCCUUUUGGGAUUUCUUCCACAAGCCCGGUCCAAAGAAAGAAAAUGAAAACCAAGCAUGGAGUGGCUGCUGCUGAUCCUGCUCAAUGCGGUCAUUUGCAAAUUAAAGGGAAGACCCCAUGGAAUGAGCAGGAGAAGCUGGCAGUUAAGCAACACUUGGCUGUUUUUGCGGAAGGUGCCAGGAAAAAAGACUGUAUCCUAUGCAUUGAAAAAUCCUCUCCUGUUCUCCAAAAGAGAACCUGGAAAGAACAUGGAUUAUGUGUAAAAUGAAAUUAUAAAGAUUACAAACUCACUAAAACAUUAAGGCAUUUCUAAGUGUCUCGAAACUUACACAAAUGUUAAUGUUUAAAAAGCUGUAAGGCUUCUGUUUAUAUAAUAAAAAUGUGUUAAAAUGCAAUGAAAUCAAAUUAUUUAAAAAUAUAUUAACUUGUAAGUUUGACUUUAUCAAAGAACCACACAACUGAAGUUACCUUAUUGUGUUUUAGUAAAUUGACCACUUUCUCUAAAAAAAUAAAAGUGGGCUUCUUCUUGCUUAUAACAUUAAUUUAAUCCUCACAGUAUAUAUAUUUAAAAAAACAUAUCAGACAUGGUUGUUUUGCUCCAAAAUAUGAGAUCAACAGUUAUUAUUUCAUAACUUUAGGGGGGGGGGUCAGCUGAGCAAUUGGUCCUCAGUAUGCUGGUUAAAAACUUUUUUUGAAAAAUGGCAAUAUUGCAAUAUCUAAAGGAGUGUUUAGGUUGGUUUUUACACCCAGUGUCCAGAAAUCAUCUUUUUGUGUCUCUAAGUACAUCACAAAUGGUGGGCCUCAGUUUGUGAGUAAUUUUACUUGGUCCUCAGUAUGUAGUAAGUACAAGAAUGCGUGUGUGUGUGUGUGUGUGUGUGUGUGUGUGUGUGUGUGUGUGUGUGUGUGUGUGUGUGUAAAACAGUGGUUCCAAGCUCUUCAUCUCCUGUUGGGAUAAUAGAAGUCUCCAUUCCAUUAGGGGUCCAGUGUUCUUGUGAUGUUUUCAUAAUCUGCUUCACUUUCAUCUUCCUCUUGAUAAGGAUUCUGCUGUUUGGUGUUUCUCUGCAGCAUAAUAAGAAAACCAUCAUUUCCAUACACCUGAAAAAAAAAACGUAGAAAAGGAAGUAAUUUAAAGGACGUUCAUUAUUAUAGUUUAAACAUCAAGUUAUGUAACUAUAUUUCCCUGAAGAAGAGGAACGAGGUACAACACAGUGGGAUAUCAUGCCCCUGCGUGGUCUAACUGAACACACCUUCAGUCACAUGAUGUAUUAUGUAACGUCACGUAGGGGAAAGGCCACGCCUACUCACACGUGAAGUCGUGUUUGAAGACCGCUCUUCACUGAGCUCAGCGGGGCUACAAAGGUCUUGUACCUUGUUCCUCUUCUUCGCUGAACAGUGAUUAUACGCAUAACUGAACGUUGCUCGGUACAAUACAUGUAGUUGCCAGAAAAAGUAUGUGAACCCCUUUGAAUUACAUGGAUUUCUACACUAAUUUGGUUAUUAAAUUUGAUCUAAUCUUCAUCACAGACAGCCACAGUCUGCCUAAACUAAUAUCACACAAAUAAUUAUAUGUUUCCAUGUUUUUACUGAACACCAUGUAAACAUUCACAGUGCAGAUGAACCCUGAGUAGUAACAAUCGUCCUAAUAAAAGAUUCAUCAGUGCUUUGUAGUUAAAGAAAUUAUAAUCAGGGUCUAUGUUACUGCCAUACUCUAAUAACCUAACAUCUGUUUGUAUUUUUGGCGUAACGUGUAUGCUGUCAGACAUCUGGAUAGGUUGUAUUAUACAUUCUGGCCAUGGGGCGAUCGGGCCUGUGUGGAAUUUCAUUAACCCUGUAAAGGGUCAUUUUAGCACAUACUGGCUCAAGAAAAUGAUUUUAAAAUAUAAAAAAGUAGCAAAAGACAUAUUUAAAGGGGCAUUAUGGAAGUUUGACAGCCAAAACAUGUUUAGAAAUAAUACAUUUCUUCUUCAUACAUUCUCCUGCAAUGCCCUGGUCCUGUAGAAUGAGCCCUGGCAUUUUUACUGUGAUUGCCUGUUUUUCUGUAAAAUCACAGAAAAAGAGAG
Molecule: long non-coding RNA, 2808 nt
Filed under: Nothobranchius furzeri (turquoise killifish)
Lineage: Eukaryota; Metazoa; Chordata; Actinopteri; Cyprinodontiformes; Nothobranchiidae
Description: lncRNA (ENSNFUG00015012578.1)
Source: RNAcentral